UGAAUGGAUCAUAAUGGGGAGGCAGGACUCGGUGGCGCUCAUACAUGUUCUGUGGCUGUCGAUCACAUGGCCAGUAAGUGGUAGAGUUAGAUAGAACUUGAACCCAGGCCCCCUUGCUCUGAAGUAGGUGAGCCUGAACACCUGGCUGCAGAGCCCACCUCUAAGCCCACUGAAGUCUUUACUUUCUGGCUUUGCACCAGACGCCUCUGAGGACAGAACCUGCUAAUCACAAACCAAUGAUGGUCCCAUCAGCCACCUUCUCUGAGCACCUUCUCCAGGCUGGGUUCUGGGAUGGGCACAGGAGAUAGAGAUUUGGACCACAGUUCUGGCCCUAGAGGUGCCUGUAAGAUCUGGAGGAAUAGGUGUGACCAGAGCCACCAACGGUGGUCACCAAGGGGAGGUGACAGCCAUUUAACAGAUGCCUCUACCCUGCGAGAUGAACAAAGGGACAGCUCUAACUGCCUGGUACCCUGGCCUGAUGUUCAUGCCCCAACCCCAUCCCCAGGCCUGCCACACCUGUAGGCCAGGGUCAGUGCUGGAUCACCCACCCUGCUUCACAGCCACCUCCUGGCCCUCUGAGGAGGGGGGGCAUUUCUGCCACCCCCACAUCUGGAUUGAGUGGCCCCAUCCGGAGGGGGCAGCUACAGGUCCCUGGCAAUACAUGACCUUUUGCUUUCUGAAAACAAAACCCAUGAGCCCAUCCUCUAGGGACAAGGGUGACCUGGUGGCAGGCUCUGCAGCCCCCCGCAGGGCCUCUGCCUUGUCCUGGGAUGUCUUGGGCCCUUAGCUUCUGUCUUCUCUUAACAUGUGAGUUAGAUCAUCUGGAAUAAGAUGUUUAACCCCUGGUCAAUAACUCACACCCAAGUGGCACGGCCAUCAAUAGUCACGAGAUUUAUCACAUCAAUUCCUGGGCUUGUGAAAGAAUGAUCGACUCACAGGGAGCCCCAAGUGGCCAGGGCCCAAGGCCAGCUCCACCAGCCUGGAGGAGGGACACACUUCUCUGAUUGUGGCCCUAUCCUGGGGCUGGGAGAGGCGUCGGGGUUGGCUGCAGCCGUUCCCAGCAUCCUAG
Molecule: long non-coding RNA, 1069 nt
Filed under: Marmota monax (woodchuck)
Lineage: Eukaryota; Metazoa; Chordata; Mammalia; Rodentia; Sciuridae
Source: RNAcentral